CGCCGCGUGAGUGAAGAAGGUUUUCGGAUCGUAAAGCUCUGUUGUAAGAGAAGAACGUGUGUGAGAGUGGAAAGUUCACACAGUGACGGUAUCUUACCAGAAAGGGACGGCUAACUACGUGCCAGCAGCCGCGGUAAUACGUAGGUCCCGAGCGUUGUCCGGAUUUAUUGGGCGUAAAGCGAGCGCAGGCGGUUUGAUAAGUCUGAAGUAAAAGGCUGUGGCUUAACCAUAGUACGCUUUGGAAACUGUCAAACUUGAGUGCAGAAGGGGAGAGUGGAAUUCCAUGUGUAGCGGUGAAAUGCGUAGAUAUAUGGAGGAACACCGGUGGCGAAAGCGGCUCUCUGGUCUGUAACUGACGCUGAGGCUCGAAAGCGUGGGGAGCGAACAGGAUUAGAUACCCUGGUAGUCCACGCCGUAAACGAUGAGUGCUAGGUGUUGGGUCCUUUCCGGGACUCAGUGCCGCAGCUAACGCAUUAAGCACUCCGCCUGGGGAGUACGACCGCAAGGUUGAAACUCAAAGGAAUUGACGGGGGCCCGCACAAGCGGUGGAGCAUGUGGUUUAAUUCGAAGCAACGCGAAGAACCUUACCAGGUCUUGACAUCCCAGUGACCGUCCUAGAGAUAGGAUUUUUCUUCGGAACACUGGUGACAGGUGGUGCAUGGUUGUCGUCAGCUCGUGUCGUGAGAUGUUGGGUUAAGUCCCGCAACGAGCGCAACCCCUAUUGUUAGUUGCCAUCAUUUAGUUGGGCACUCUAGCGAGACUGCCGGUAAUAAACCGGAGGAAGGUGGGGAUGACGUCAAAUCAUCAUGCCCCUUAUGACCUGGGCUACACACGUGCUACAAUGGCUGGUACAACGAGUCGCAAGUCGGUGACGGCAAGCUAAUCUCUUAAAGCCAGUCUCAGUUCGGAUUGUAGGCUGCAACUCGCCUACAUGAAGUCGGAAUCGCUAGUAAUCGCGGAUCAGCACGCCGCGGUGAAUACGUUCCCGGGCCUUGUACACACCGCCCGUCACACCACGAGAGUUUGUAACACCCGAAGUCGGUGAGGUAACCUUUUAGGAGCCAGCCGCCUAAGGUGGGAUAGAUGAUUGGGGUGAAGUCGUAACAAGGUAGCCGUAUCGGAAGGUGCGGCUGGAUCACCUCCUUU
This 1146-nucleotide ribosomal RNA is filed under the name Streptococcus suis. Its description in RNAcentral is "bacterial SSU rRNA". It matches the Rfam family "Bacterial small subunit ribosomal RNA", at positions 395 to 1533 of the family's 1533-position model. The record is from RNAcentral. Lineage: Bacteria; Bacillati; Bacillota; Bacilli; Lactobacillales; Streptococcaceae.